Phasianus colchicus (ring-necked pheasant) is the source of this 685-nucleotide long non-coding RNA. RefSeq lists it as uncharacterized. NCBI's taxonomy places the organism in Eukaryota, Metazoa, Chordata, Aves, Galliformes, Phasianidae. The record is from RefSeq and is a predicted model, not a curated record.
GGAUUCCUCCUUUUGGAGUGUUUAGGAAGACUCUGAUCCUUGGGAUAGCACAUUAACUCAAAGAACACCAAAGAGCAAAAAUAUUACUGGAGAAGGAUAAUCCCAACAAAUCUUCAAGGGCUCACCAUUCUUCUACCCCAUCAGUAGAUGCAGUACUGAGAUAAGGUCUUUCAAGAUAGGAGCUACUGAAGAUGAUACCUGAGAAAUGAAAACAAGAUGUGAAGGCACCUUGUGAAACCUCAUUAGCAGCUUCCUUAUGAGCUCCUGCUCUGCUGGUCUGGACCCAUAGAAAAGAGAUUUUCUUAUGAAUCACAACAACACAAAAACAACUCAGAAAAAUCCCCUUUCAUUUAUGGGGCUCGAUUUUCAUUAUUUCCCAUUGCAAAGGAAGCACAAGACUAAAACAUCUGGUCCUGUCAAUGGGCUUUCAGCCAAAGCUUCAACGUCUGCUGCUGAGCUGAAACAACAGCAGCCUAAUCUCUGUAUUGUCUUUAGCUUUUUCAAAUUCUCAUCUUUCUCAAUGAGACAGUGGAAAGAAAUCAUCCCUCAGUGUUUUAUUUCAGGCGUAGCACAUUAAGCUGCAACCACACACCAACAAAAGAUACUUUCCUUCCAAAAUCCUGCCACUUCCUAAAUGCAAUAAAGUUUCAGACUGUGGCAUUCAUUAGAGCUGAGCAACUCGUUU